CCCUUAGAUGUUCUGGGCAGCACGCGCGCUACAAUGGUCUUCGCAAACGGAUGCAUUCUCGAAGGAGAAUGCCAAUCUUGGAAUCUAUGCCUUGGUCGGGACAGUUGCUUGCAAUUUUUCGACUCGAACCAGGAAUUCCUUGUAAUCGUGAUUCAUCACAUCGCGAUGAAUACGUCCCUGCCCUUUGUACACACCGCCCGUCGCUCCUACCGAUCGAAGAGUUAGGUGAAUUGUUUUGAUCGAUAAGAUUUGACUAUGGUCAACUCUCGUUGUGAAAUUCUGUGAAUCUGACUGUUUAGAGGAAGGAAAAGUCGUAACAA
RNAcentral lists this ribosomal RNA (320 nucleotides) under uncultured eukaryote. RNAcentral's name for it is "partial 18S ribosomal RNA". It matches the Rfam family "Eukaryotic small subunit ribosomal RNA", at positions 1470 to 1797 of the family's 1831-position model. The record is from RNAcentral.